Molecule: ribosomal RNA, 253 nt
Filed under: uncultured bacterium
Lineage: Bacteria
Description: partial 16S ribosomal RNA
Rfam family: Bacterial small subunit ribosomal RNA
Source: RNAcentral
UACGGGGGGGGCAAGCGUUGUCCGGAAUUAUUGGGCGUAAAGAGCUCGUAGGCGGCUUGUCACGUCGGUUGUGAAAGCCCGGGGCUUAACCCCGGGUCUGCAGUCGAUACGGGCAGGCUAGAGUUCGGUAGGGGAGAUCGGAAUUCCUGGUGUAGCGGUGAAAUGCGCAGAUAUCAGGAGGAACACCGGUGGCGAAGGCGGAUCUCUGGGCCGAUACUGACGCUGAGGAGCGAAAGCGUGGGGAGCGAACAGG